CCCAUCAAUGCAGGACAUCCCUUCCCUUGGAAAUCUUUAGGAGUGGACUCCUUGCUUUGUCUGGUAGGGCUAAAGUCAUUCAGAUGCCCACCAUGCUGCUUGCUUGAAGAAGCCACACUCCAGGAAAGUGGAUGCAGCUGAAUACCUGUUAAAAAGGUGGAAGGAUAGCUGUCCCUGGAUGAGAUGUGUACUGAUGUACUGAGAGAGUCCUUCCCUCCUUGAAGUUACUGUGACUGUACCAGCUUCUGAAUCCUAGCUCACAAAAUUUACAGCAGCCUGAAUGAACUGCAAUGGGAAGGAAGAAGAAGCCACACAAACUCCUAUUUCUGAAUGUUAGACCCCCGGAAAACUCAGUUUACAGGUGUUCUCUAUAACAAAGCUGUGAGGAGACUCUGCCCUCUGUCCCCGGUGGGUGCCCUAGCCUCAGGUGAGUCUUGGCGCUGCUCUGCCCACCCCCAACCUUCCUCAUCAUCACCUGCUCGAUUCUGCCUGAGCUCACCAGGACAAGAGUGGACCCACUCAGACUGGAAGGCCCACCCUGAGUCUGGACACACCUCACCUCUGUCCACACUCUGCCCUCUGUCCUGCUGAGGGUGCCCGAACCUCAGGUGAGUCUGGGUGCUCCUCUGCCCCCCUCAAACUCCCACAUCAACCCCUGCUUGCUUCUGCCUGAGCCCACCUGGGCAAGAGUGGACCUCCCCAGUCUGGGAAGGCCCACCCUGAGUCCAGACACACCCCACCC
Molecule: non-coding RNA, 742 nt
Organism: Cricetulus griseus (Chinese hamster)
Lineage: Eukaryota; Metazoa; Chordata; Mammalia; Rodentia; Cricetidae
Source: RefSeq, a predicted model, not a curated record